CCUACGGGAGGCAGCAGUGGGGAAUUUUGGACAAUGGGGGCAACCCUGAUCCAGCCAUGCCGCGUGAGUGAAGAAGGCCUUCGGGUUGUAAAGCUCUUUCGGCCGGAACGAAAUCGCGCACGUGAAUAACGUGCGUGGAUGACGGUACCGGAGUAAGAAGCACCGGCUAACUACGUGCCAGCAGCCGCGGUAAUACGUAGGGUGCGAGCGUUAAUCGGAAUUACUGGGCGUAAAGCGUGCGCAGGCGGUUCGCUAAGUCAGACGUGAAAGCCCCGGGCUUAACCUGGGAACGGCGUUUGAAACUGGCGGGCUCGAGUACGGCAGAGGGGGGUGGAAUUCCACGUGUAGCAGUGAAAUGCGUAGAUAUGUGGAGGAACACCGAUGGCGAAGGCAGCCCCCUGGGCCGAUACUGACGCUCAUGCACGAAAGCGUGGGGAGCAAACAGGAUUAGAUACCCUGGUAGUCCACGCCCUAAACUAUGUCAACUAGUUGUCGGGGAAGCAAUUCCUUGGUAACGCAGCUAACGCGUGAAGUUGACCGCCUGGGGAUACGGUCGCAAGAUUAAAACUUAAAGGAAUUGACGG
RNAcentral lists this ribosomal RNA (584 nucleotides) under uncultured bacterium. RNAcentral's name for it is "bacterial SSU rRNA". It matches the Rfam family "Bacterial small subunit ribosomal RNA", at positions 338 to 916 of the family's 1533-position model. The record is from RNAcentral.